This 338-nucleotide ribosomal RNA is filed under the name Wasmanniella sp. JSMJ6. RNAcentral describes it as "partial 16S ribosomal RNA". The record is from RNAcentral. Lineage: Eukaryota; Metazoa; Arthropoda; Insecta; Diptera; Cecidomyiidae.
UUUUUUAAUUGGAAACUGGAAUGAAGGGUUGGACGAAAUAUAAACUUUAUUGGUUAAUUGUUAUGAAUUUUAUUUUUUAGUUAAAAAGCUUAAAUUUAUAUAUUAGACGAGAAGACCCUAUAGAGUUUUAUAUUAAAAAUUUUUAGUAAUUAUUAUAAUAAUAUUUUUUUAAAAGUUUAAAAUAUUUUAUUGGGGUGAUAAGAAAAUUUUUUUAACUUUUUUUAUUAAUAUCAUAAAUUUAUGAUUUAUUGAUCCUUUUUUUUUGAUUAUAAAAAUAAAUUACCUUAGGGAUAACAGCAUAAUUUUUUUUCAAAGUUCUUAUUAAAAAAAAAGAUUAU